This 483-nucleotide ribosomal RNA is filed under the name uncultured bacterium. Its description in RNAcentral is "partial 16S ribosomal RNA". It matches the Rfam family "Bacterial small subunit ribosomal RNA", at positions 28 to 507 of the family's 1533-position model. The record is from RNAcentral.
GACGAACGCUGGCGGCGUGCUUAACACAUGCAAGUCGAACGCUGAGGCUCAGCUUUUGUUGGGUGGAUGAGUGGCGAACGGGUGAGUAACACGUGAGUAACCUGCCUCCUUCUUUGGAAUAACGCCCGGAAACGGGUGCUAAUACUGGAUAUUCACUGGUCUUCGCAUGGGGGUUGGUGGAAAGGGUUUUUCUGGUGGGGGAUGGGCUCGCGGCCUAUCAGCUUGUUGGUGGGGUGAUGGCCUACCAAGGCUUUGACGGGUAGCCGGCCUGAGAGGGUGACCGGUCACAUUGGGACUGAGAUACGGCCCAGACUCCUACGGGAGGCAGCAGUGGGGAAUAUUGCACAAUGGGCGCAAGCCUGAUGCAGCGACGCCGCGUGAGGGAUGGAGGCCUUCGGGUUGUGAACCUCUUUCGCUCAUGGUCAAGCCGCAACAAUGGUUGUGGUGAGGGUAGUGGGUAAAGAAGCGCCGGCUAACUACGUG